This 288-nucleotide ribosomal RNA is filed under the name uncultured bacterium. RNAcentral's name for it is "partial 16S ribosomal RNA". It matches the Rfam family "Bacterial small subunit ribosomal RNA", at positions 69 to 354 of the family's 1533-position model. The record is from RNAcentral.
CGGGGGAGCGUUCGCGCUUCCGCCGGCGACCGGCGCACGGGUGAGUAACACGUAUGGAACCUGCCCGCAGCAGGGGGAUAAUCGGGGGAAACCCCGUCUAAUACCGCGUAACGACCCGGAGGGGCAUCCCUUCGGGUCCAAAGGUUUACCGGCUGCGGAUGGCCAUGCGUCGCAUUAGCUUGUUGGCGGGGUAACGGCCCACCAAGGCGACGAUGCGUAGGGGUUCUGAGAGGAAGGUCCCCCACACUGGUACUGAGACACGGACCAGACUCCUACGGGAGGCAGCAG